UUUAAUUUAAUUGAAUUUAAUUUAAUCCCACUCGGCUGGCUCAGUGUCCCUUUGCUCAGUGUCCCUAAGGCUCAGUGUCCCAGCGCUCAGUGUCUGUGCUCAUUUUCCCUGUGGCUCAGUGUCCCCGUGCUCAGUGUCCCUAAGGCUCAGUGUCCCAGCGCUCAGUGUCUGUGCUCAUUUUCCCUGUGGCUCAGUGUCCCCGUGCUCAGUGUCCCUAAGGCUCAGUGUCCCCCGUGCUCAUUGUCCCUGUGCUCACUGUCCCCGUGCUCACUGUCCCUGUGCUCAGUGUCCCUGUGCUCAGUGUCCCUUUGCUCACUGUCCCUGUGCUCACUGUCCCUGUGCUCAGUGUCCCUAAGGCUCAGUGUCCCCGUGCUCAGUGUCACUGUGCUCACUGUCCCUGUGCCCACUGUCCCUGUGCUCAGUGUCCCUGUGGCUCAGUGUCACUGUGGCUUAUUGUCGCUGUGCUCACUGUCCCCGUGCUCACUGUCCCUGUGUCUCACUGUCCCCGUGCUCAGUGUCCCCGUGCUCAGUGUCCCCGUGCUCAGUGUCCCCGUGCUCAGUGUCCCCGUGCUCAGUGUCCCCGUGCUCAGUGUCCCCGUGCUCAGUGUCCCCGUGCUCAGUGUCCCCGUGCUCAGUGUCCCCGUGCUCAGUGUCCCCGUGCUCAGUGUCCCCGUGCUCAGUGUCCCCGUGCUCAGUGUCCCCGUGCUCAGUGUCCCCGUGCUCAGUGUCCCCGUGCUCAGUGUCCCCGUGCUCAGUGUCCCCGUGCUCAGUGUCCCCGUGCUCAGUGUCCCCGUGCUCAGUGUCCCCGUGCUCAGUGUCCCCGUGCUCAGUGUCCCCGUGCUCAGUGUCCCCGUGCUCAGUGUCCCCGUGCUCAGUGUCCCCGUGCUCAGUGUCCCCGUGCUCAGUGUCCCCGUGCUCACCCCCCCCCCCCCCCCCCCCCCCCCCCCCCCCCCCCCCCCCCCCCCCCCCCCCCCCCCCCCCCCCCCCCCCCCCCC
RNAcentral lists this long non-coding RNA (995 nucleotides) under Ficedula albicollis (Collared flycatcher). RNAcentral's name for it is "lncRNA (ENSFALG00000026617.1)". The record is from RNAcentral. Lineage: Eukaryota; Metazoa; Chordata; Aves; Passeriformes; Muscicapidae.